GACGAACGCUGGCGGCGUGCUUAACACAUGCAAGUCGAACGAAGAGCGAUGGAAGCUUGCUUCUAUCAAUCUUAGUGGCGAACGGGUGAGUAACGCGUAAUCAACCUGCCCUUCAGAGGGGGACAACAGUUGGAAACGACUGCUAAUACCGCAUACGAUCUAAUCUCGGCAUCGAGGAUAGAUGAAAGGUGGCCUCUACAUGUAAGCUAUCACUGAAGGAGGGGAUUGCGUCUGAUUAGCUAGUUGGAGGGGUAACGGCCCACCAAGGCGAUGAUCAGUAGCCGGUCUGAGAGGAUGGGCGGCCACAUUGGGACUGUGACACGGCCCAGACUCCUACGGGAGGCAGCAGUGGGGAAUCUUCCGCAAUGGACGAAAGUCUGACGGAGCAACGCCGCGUGAGUGAUGACGGCCUUCGGGUUGUAAAGCUCUGUUAAUCGGGACGAAAGGCCUUCUUGCGAAUAGUGAGAAGGAUUGACGGUACCGGAAUAGAAAGCCACGGCUAACUACGUG
This 510-nucleotide ribosomal RNA is filed under the name uncultured bacterium. RNAcentral's name for it is "partial 16S ribosomal RNA". It matches the Rfam family "Bacterial small subunit ribosomal RNA", at positions 28 to 507 of the family's 1533-position model. The record is from RNAcentral.